GACGAACGCUGGCGGCGUGCUUAACACAUGCGAGUCGAACGAAGAGCGAUGGACGCUUGCUUCUAUCAAUCUUAGUGGCGAACGGGUGAGUAACGCGUAAUCAACCUGCCCUUCAGAGGGGGACAACAGUUGGAAACGACUGCUAAUACCGCAUACGAUCCAAUCUCGGCAUCGGGACUGGAUGAAAGGUGGCCUCUAUUUAUAAGCUAUCACUGAAGGAGGGGAUUGCGUCUGAUUAGCUAGUUGGAGGGGUAACGGCCCACCAAGGCGAUGAUCAGUAGCCGGUCUGAGAGGAUGAACGGCCACAUUGGGACUGAGACACGGCCCAGACUCCUACGGGAGGCAGCAGUGGGGAAUCUUCCGCAAUGGACGAAAGUCUGACGGAGCAACGCCGCGUGAGGGAUGACGGCCUUCGGGUUGUAAAGCUCUGUUAAUCGGGACGAAUGGUUCUUGUGCGAAUAGUGCGAGGAUUUGACGGUACCGGAAGAGAAAGCCACGGCUAACUACGUG
This 510-nucleotide ribosomal RNA is filed under the name uncultured bacterium. RNAcentral's name for it is "partial 16S ribosomal RNA". It matches the Rfam family "Bacterial small subunit ribosomal RNA", at positions 28 to 507 of the family's 1533-position model. The record is from RNAcentral.